CCUACGGGAGGCAGCAGUGAGGAAUAUUGGUCAAUGGCCGGAAGGCUGAACCAGCCAUGCCGCGUGAAGGUCAGUGCCCUAUGGGCGUUAAACUUCUUUUGUGCGGGAGCAAUAAUGGUCACGUGUGGCCAGACGAGAGUACCGUACGAAUAAGCAUCGGCUAACUCCGUGCCAGCAGCAGCGGUAAUACGGGGGAUGCAAGCGUUAGCCGGAUUUCUUGGGUUUAAAGGGUGCGUAGGCUGGGAGGUAAGUCAGCGGGGAAAUGCCCGCGCGCAACGGGGUGAAGUGCCAUUGAUACUGCCUGGCUGGAAUGCGGAUGCCGUGGGAGGAAUGUGUGGUGUAGCAGUGAAAUGCAUAGAUAUCACACAGAACACCGAUUGCGAAGGCAUCUCACGAAUCCGCGAUUGACGCUGAGGCACGAAAGCGUGGGUAUCAAACAGGAUUAGAUACCCUUGUAGUC
This 460-nucleotide ribosomal RNA is filed under the name uncultured bacterium. Its description in RNAcentral is "partial 16S ribosomal RNA". It matches the Rfam family "Bacterial small subunit ribosomal RNA", at positions 338 to 795 of the family's 1533-position model. The record is from RNAcentral.